GAUGAACGCUGGCGGUGUGCCUAAUACAUGCAAGUCGAGCGAACAGACGAGGAGCUUACUCCUCUGACGUUAGCGGCGGACGGGUGAGUAACACGUGGAUAACCUACCUAUAAGACUGGGAUAACUUCGGGAAACCGGAGCUAAUACCGGAUAACAUGUUGAACCGCAUGGUUCAACAGUGAAAGACGGUCUUGCUGUCACUUAUAGAUGGAUCCGCGUCGCAUUAGCUAGUUGGUAAGGUAACGGCUUACCAAGGCAACGAUGCGUAGCCGACCUGAGAGGGUGAUCGGCCACACUGGAACUGAGACACGGUCCAGACUCCUACGGGAGGCAGCAGUAGGGAAUCUUCCGCAAUGGGCGAAAGCCUGACGGAGCAACGCCGCGUGAGUGAAGAAGGUCUUCGGAUCGUAAAACUCUGUUAUUAGGAAAGAACAAAUGUGUAAGUAACUAUGCACGUCUUGACGGUACCUAAUCAGAAAGCCACGGCUAACUACGUG
This 497-nucleotide ribosomal RNA is filed under the name uncultured bacterium. Its description in RNAcentral is "partial 16S ribosomal RNA". It matches the Rfam family "Bacterial small subunit ribosomal RNA", at positions 28 to 507 of the family's 1533-position model. The record is from RNAcentral.